GGCCGACUAGCUCAGUUGGUUAGAGCGUCGUGCUAAUAAUCGUAUUAACGCGAAGGUCUUGGGUUCGAUCCCCACGUUGGCCA
Molecule: non-coding RNA, 83 nt
Organism: Marasmius tenuissimus
Lineage: Eukaryota; Fungi; Basidiomycota; Agaricomycetes; Agaricales; Marasmiaceae
Source: the annotation of a GenBank genome assembly